Molecule: non-coding RNA, 717 nt
Organism: Phalacrocorax carbo (great cormorant)
Lineage: Eukaryota; Metazoa; Chordata; Aves; Suliformes; Phalacrocoracidae
Source: the annotation of a RefSeq genome assembly
UUCUUUCUAGACGGACAAGUGCUUCUGAAGCAGAGCCAAGUAUCUACUACCAAACGGCAAACGAAAACUGCACGGAUUGAGUGUAAAGCCGAGGGCAUAUCUGACUUCCGGUCUGCGUAUAUACAUUGGUACCGACAUAUACCACCCAAAGCUCCCGAACGGAUUCUGUAUAUCGGAUCAGCUCAACCUGUUUAUGAUGACAGUUCCUACAGAAACAAGUUUGGGUCUUCAAAGAAAGACACAGAUGUCUGCACUUUAACUGUCAGGGACAUCGACUCCAGCGAUGAAGGUUUAACCCACACGGGCAACAUGUUGCUGCUCCCAGUCCUUCUUGCAAGUUCUCUGUGGUCCCGUGGAGACACGCAGGCAGUGCCAGUGCAAACCCCAGCGCUCCGGACGCAGGUGAAGGGCAGCCAUGUCACCAUGGACUGCCGGAUGAGAACCAAUGACGUUGUGCACUGGUACAAACAUCUUCCUGGGGAGCCACCAAAGAGGAUACUGUACAUGUCGGGACAGUCACCUGUUUUUGAUGAUAGCAGUGAUGAAAAGAGAUUUGAAGUUUGGAAACCUUCAUCAGACCCCCUCUAUGUUCUUGGGAUAAAAUAUUUAACGCUGAAUGAUUCUGGCACUUACUACUGUGCCUAUUGGUUUUACCAAGGUGUCACAGCAUUAGAUCAGCAAAGAGAAGCCAUACAAAAAGGUCAUUUUGCACUCUGA